Molecule: ribosomal RNA, 300 nt
Filed under: uncultured bacterium
Lineage: Bacteria
Description: bacterial SSU rRNA
Rfam family: Bacterial small subunit ribosomal RNA (bases 59-300)
Source: RNAcentral
GAAAAGGUAGUGAGUGGGGCGGCGGUAAGACGUGGGGUGGAGUCUUUUUGCUUAUGUUUUUGUUUUAAUGGGUCCGUAGGAGGGCUGUUAGUUCUGGGGUGAGAGCAUGUCGCUUAACGGUAGAACGGCCAUGGAUACAGUAAGGCAUUAGUAUAUUUGAGGUAGCUGGAAUAAGUAGUUGAGCGGUGAAAUGCAUAGAUAGUACUUAGAACACCAAUUGCGAAGGCAGGUUACCAAGAUAUAACUGACGCUGAGGGACUAAAGCGUGGGGUGCGAACAGGAUUAGAUACCCGAGUAGUC